Synechocystis sp. PCC 6803 is the source of this 186-nucleotide non-coding RNA. It matches the Rfam family "6S / SsrS RNA". From Rfam's summary of the family: E. coli 6S RNA was the first non coding RNA to be sequenced, but its function was unknown until recently. It consists of 184 nucleotides that fold into an extended hairpin structure with a large single-stranded internal bulge. NCBI's taxonomy places the organism in Bacteria, Bacillati, Cyanobacteriota, Cyanophyceae, Synechococcales, Merismopediaceae. The record is from Rfam.
AAGUAACUACCGCGUUGGUGACUGCCAACAACGUUUUUUGAUCUAUGCUUGAAAAAUAAGGGUGUCUCUGUGCAUUCUGCGUGGUAGUAGACCGGGCUCGUACCCGGAAACGAAAACGAGAAUUGAUGACUCCCCCCUGGUUACACCAGGUCAUAAACUGAGGUAAAACGGCGUGGUGGUGCUUCU